GUUUUAGAAGUCUCUUGCUUGUGUGCUUGAUCAAAUUGUAAUCUUCUAUGAUUAUAGUGAAAUCCCUUGGAAGUGCAAGGGGACUGGACUACUCUCGAUUUAUGAGAGGAACUAGGAUAAAUUUGUGUGACUCUUUAUUUCUUUCAUUCUUUAUUCGCUACUUAUCACUCACCUUUGAUUCAAACUCUAGACUUUGUGUAUAGAAACUGAUUAUAG
RNAcentral lists this long non-coding RNA (216 nucleotides) under Lathyrus oleraceus (garden pea). RNAcentral's name for it is "Pisum sativum (pea) long non-coding RNA (PSAT_LNC023891)". Lineage: Eukaryota; Viridiplantae; Streptophyta; Magnoliopsida; Fabales; Fabaceae. The record is from RNAcentral.